GUGAGGUGGCUCAGUAGUUAAGAGCACUGGCUGUUCUUCCAGAUGACCUGGGUUCAAUUUCCAGCACUCACA
Molecule: transfer RNA, 72 nt
Filed under: Neotoma lepida (desert woodrat)
Lineage: Eukaryota; Metazoa; Chordata; Mammalia; Rodentia; Cricetidae
Rfam family: tRNA
About the family: Transfer RNA (tRNA) molecules are approximately 80 nucleotides in length. Their secondary structure includes four short double-helical elements and three loops (D, anti-codon, and T loops).
Source: Rfam by way of RNAcentral